AACGCUAGGGGACGCUUUACUCAACCUUUCGAUUUGAAUGACUUUCUCUUAUUUAAUGGUGUAAACUUCAAAUUGUUACUUUUUAGUAAGGGGGACGAUUUCCUAACAAGUAUAUUGAUUUUUCUUCGAAGCUACUCAAACAUCUGGUGUUUAGAAAUGUUUCAUGAUGAUUUAUGAUAGAAAUGCAUUAAAUGAAACAUUGAAUAUGAAUAAGUGAAUACACAGAGAGAAAACAUCCAUGUCCUUAGAGAAAAGGGAGCCAAACAGCAAUUAUAGUUCAUAUAAAGGGUGCUAGCUCUCAGGCUAAUCACAGAUUUAUGAAACUACAUGCGUUGUCAUAGCAACAGUGACAGCGGUGUCCAGUGUUAUCCUUUCAUCAAGGCCAUUCUCCUCCUCUCCCUCUCAUCCCUGAGCUGCUGUUGUCCUCUGCGUGUCUCAGUCUGAGGUCAGCCAGCGGUGAAUACUGUCCCGGACACAGCGGCUGCAUGUUGCCACAAGGAGGAAUGCUCAGACAGCCCACAUAGAUGACAGCGGGACUCACUUUGUUGGGUGAAUGCACUGCAUCAUGUUUCCAGAGGCAUCCCUUCUGAUCAACCCCUUAAAUAUUCUUGGCAGUGUGCAGCAGCGUUGUUUUGUGAACAUCCACUCUGCUUUUACGCCGACGUACCCAAAAAGUGCUGCAAGCAGACUCUUACUUGCAAAAAUACAUUUAUUUUUGACGCCUUGGUAUGAAACCUUCAUCAGACAAAUUGUUUGUUUGUUUGUUUUUUUUACAAUGAGAAGCCAUCUCAAUAUAUAUUUCUGCCUAUAUGAAAUGUAAAGACAUAAAUAGCAUAUGUCCAUUUCAAAUAGGAAAAUAAUUAUCCCAAAUCAUACAUGGAGCCACAGAGCAACAUGCUAUACACAGUAACAAACAUAAAAGCUCCCCACAUUGUUGGUAAAUUCAAAUAAGGUAGAUGCCCAAAGUCCCCAGGGCUAAACUGCAAUUACAGAAGAGGACGGUGAAAAACAGCAUCAAUACCUUCUGUUUUGGUCCCUGUAAAUGGAUUUAGGCUGAAUAAAGUGGAGGAAAAUUAGAUUGCUGUUAUUUGGUAUAUGCAUGCAGUACACUGAUGUUUAUCUAUUUUGUGAGACGGUAUAUUUGUUAUGAAGCUUCAUAUUUAUUCACUGUUCUUGUCUGUAAUUGCAGUUUGACCUUGGGGACUUUAAGCACCCACUUUACAUGCAUUUACUGAUUAAUGACAAGAUGUUGGUGUACAUUUUUGCUUGUUGCUGCUUUUAGUAUUUUGCUUCUCUAUAGCUCUGUGUUUGAUAUUGGAUAUUUACUUUCAUACGGGAAAUUGUUAGUUAUGUCUUCAUAUUUCACCCCUAUUUAAGAUCUCACUUAGAACAAGCUGCUAGCCUUGAAACCGAAUGAAGAUCUAGAACUAAAAGCAUCACAAAUAAAUGCAUAUAAUAAUGCAAGUUAGACAAUAUGCAUGAGUUUGUUUGCAACUUUUGGUCGACUCUUUGCUCAUAAAGUAGAUGUGCUAGGUAUCUUUUCAGUUUUAACACCAUCAUUCUCUAACAGGAGAUACCGAUUAGGCCAACUUUUGAUCCUAUUUGUAUACAGAACAUUAGUCAUUUCUUACACACAUCAAUCUUACAAGAAUUUGUAAUUGUGUUAUUGGAUCCACAAUAUACAGUAUUGAUUGAUUUAUGUGAUAAAUAAAAACAUUAACCUAUACAAAUGAUUGAGGUGUGUUGGAAUCGAAGGCUCUCAACGUUAGCAGCUGACGUUAAACUCACGGAGAAGCAUUUCUUUGUUUGUUUGUUUACAAAAUAAGAUGCAGCCCUAAGGCCAUGUAACCCACCACUGUCCAGUUCAGACAGACAGGAUGAGACGGUGUCAGGAAGUGAAACUGAUAUCCUCAACACGUGUGCUGUUUGAUCAGAAUGAAUAAACCUGACUGGCGUCUCUCUUUGUCUCACAUUCUAACUGAAGUGUGAUGGCACCUUCCUGGAUGGGUUGCCUCCAGCUGUAUGUCUUAUCUUCUGCUCUUUCAUUACCAGCUCUAUGCCAACCCCUCUGGAGCCGAAAACAUUAACCCUGGUAUCUGAUUUCACAUUCCAGAGCUCAAGAACUUAAAGGAUAAGUUCACCCAAAAUUGAGAAGUUGGUAGAUUAUCUACUUGCCCUCAUGUUGAUGGGAAGUUUGUGGUUCACGAAACAUUUCUGGAGCUUCACAGCAAAAUGGCCUUGCAACACUCUCGAGUAGAUGGGGACUUUUUAAAAAUGGCUCAAUGCGACUUGUCCAGUGUAAUCUAAGUCCUUACAACCUCUUUUAAGGGGCUCAUUAGAACUUCAGUGUCGUACUUUAAGUCAGUUAUUGGUUUAUGUCCAUGGACUCCAUUUCUAAACUAACGUUAACUAAAACCAUCCUUAGGACUGUAGCCCCAAAUCCAUCCAUCUAUCCAUUUUCACCCGCUCAUCUGAGAUUGGGUCGCUGUGGCAGCAGGCUCAGUUGAGUGUUCCAGAUGUCCCUCUCCAGCUCCUCCAGAUGAGAUAUGUUCUGGGUCUACCCAUCCAGUUCUUCUCCGAGUUGAAUGUGCCCAGAAAACCUCAAAAGACACCCAGCAGGCAUCCUGAUCAGAACUGGCUCCUUACGACACAGGAAGCUCUACUGCGAGCUCCCUCCGGAUGUCCAAGGUCCUCAGGUUGAGUCAAGCCAGCCUUGGGAGGGAACUCAUUUAGGCCGCUUGUAUCCGCAAUCUCAUUCUUUCGGUUGCACAGCUUGUGACCACAGGUGAGGGGUGGAACGUAGAUAGACUGGUAAAUCGAACACUUCGCAUUUCACCUCAGUCUGUCCAGAGCCAAUUUAAGUUGUUGUUGUUGUUGUUGUU
Acanthopagrus latus (yellowfin seabream) is the source of this 2882-nucleotide long non-coding RNA. RefSeq lists it as uncharacterized. Lineage: Eukaryota; Metazoa; Chordata; Actinopteri; Spariformes; Sparidae. The record is from RefSeq and is a predicted model, not a curated record. The transcript is spliced from 3 exons.